ACACUUCAGUGGAAACAAAAGUGCCAUUGCCCUCUCAGCCACCGAUCUGCUUCAAAGAAUGGAAACCACAGUAUUAGAAGGUGCAUUCAAGUCUAACAAUGGAGUACAAGCACCAGACAAUUUUGUAGUUACUGACACACGAGUUGUUCCAGACAACAAAUGCUCUGAGAAGAUUUUCACACUGAAGGCUGGAGAAGAUGCCAUGGCCAUCCAUUGUACUGAAGUCGUCAGAGAAAGCACCACAGGUGGGUGGGGACAGCGCACUCAGAAUUGGCCUAUCAUGAGGGGACCCUCACUGUAGUCAAAUGUUGAUGAUACGAUGGGAUUGGCC
This 331-nucleotide long non-coding RNA is filed under the name Vombatus ursinus (common wombat). RNAcentral's name for it is "lncRNA (ENSVURG00010024298.1)". Lineage: Eukaryota; Metazoa; Chordata; Mammalia; Diprotodontia; Vombatidae. The record is from RNAcentral.